CAGCCGCCGCGGGAAUACGGAGGGUGCAAGCGUUAUCCGGAUUUAUUGGGUUUAAAGGGUCCGUAGGCGGAUCUGUAAGUCAGUGGUGAAAUCUCACAGCUUAACUGUGAAACUGCCAUUGAUACUGCAGGUCUUGAGUAAAUUUGAAGUGGCUGGAAUAAGUAGUGUAGCGGUGAAAUGCAUAGAUAUUACUUAGAACACCAAUUGCGAAGGCAGGUCACUAAGAUUUAACUGACGCUGAUGGACGAAAGCGUGGGGAGCGAACAGGAUUAGAUACCCGUGUAGUCCCUGUCUCUUAUAU
Molecule: ribosomal RNA, 301 nt
Filed under: uncultured bacterium
Lineage: Bacteria
Description: partial 16S ribosomal RNA
Rfam family: Bacterial small subunit ribosomal RNA
Source: RNAcentral